Pelobates cultripes (western spadefoot toad) is the source of this 141-nucleotide non-coding RNA. NCBI's taxonomy places the organism in Eukaryota, Metazoa, Chordata, Amphibia, Anura, Pelobatidae. The record is from the annotation of a GenBank genome assembly.
UAAUAAAUCAAAAUGUGCUUAAAAGAUAAGUGCUGUGCCCAGUGCCCAGUGCCCAUAACCCACAGGCCCGGUGUUUUUUUUCCUCUGUGGGUUAUGGGCACUGGGCACAGCACUUAUUUUUUAAGCACAUUUUGAUUUAUU